CGCCCUGUGGGGCUGAGGCGCGCGAGUGAGGCCGGAGAGUUUCCCCAGCCAUGCUGGCCCUGGCGCUGCUGCUGCCCCUGGCCCUGGCCGGGACCCCCGAGGUGACGGUGCCUCGACCCCGGGGGGUGGCCCUGAGCCGGACCCCCGCGUGCCCCAACGGGCGAUUCCACUGCGCCAACGCCCGGGGCACCGCCCCCUAGCAUCCCCGCGGCCCACGUCAACGACGGCGCCUGGGUGUUCGGAUUUGGGGGCAAUUUGGGGGUCCUGGGGGAUUUGGGGGGAUUUUGGGGGUCCUGGGGGGGAUUUGGGGGAUUUUGGGAGACAUUUGUGGAGGUUUGGGCACCGCACCGUCCUCCCGGAGCAUCCCCAGGUCACGGCGCGCCCCCCCCUGGGGGUGCGGCCUGGGGGGUUUGGGGGGUCCCGAAGGGGUUUUGGGGGUCCUGGGAGCGGCUUGGGGGAUUUUGGGGGUCCUGGGGGGAUUUGGGGGUCCUGGGGAGGGUUUGGGGGGUCCUGGGGGGGAUUUGGGGGGAUUUUGGGGGUCCUGGCGGGGAUUUGGGGGGAUUUUGGGGGUCCUGGGGGGUCCUGGGGGGAUUUGGGGGGAUUUGGGGGUCCUGAAGGGGAUUUGGGUUUACCGAGGGGGUUUAGGGGCAUUUGGGGAGGUUUGGGCGCCGCAGCAUCCCCACGGCUCACAGCAACAACGGCGUCUGCG
RNAcentral lists this long non-coding RNA (709 nucleotides) under Camarhynchus parvulus. RNAcentral describes it as "lncRNA (ENSCPVG00000018136.1)". The record is from RNAcentral. Lineage: Eukaryota; Metazoa; Chordata; Aves; Passeriformes; Thraupidae.